CCCGCCCCGCCCCCGCCGGCGCGGGCUUCCUCACCUACCGCCCCACGCGCGCGCGCGCGCUCGCGCACCACACGCCCCACGCGGCCCGCCCGGAUCGUGGCCUCUCGAGAGCAAGAUAUGGGAAAGCAGAACUACCAAAAGGAGUGAUGAUUGGUGAUCUGAUGAUAAAUCUGGAUGUUAGUUCUCAUGCCUCAGGACAUCUGGGAACACCACACCAGCUCCUGGGAUCAGACUUUCAUCCACUUAGUUCUCCUCUUUGCUUGAACUACUAAAGGCAGUCUUAGCUAACCACAAAUGGCUACGCAAAGGAAACACUUGGUGAAAGAUUUCAAUCCUUACAUUACCUGCUAUAUCUGUAAAGGGUAUCUGAUCAAGCCAACUACAGUGACAGAAUGCCUCCAUACCUUCUGUAAGACUUGUAUUGUCCAGCACUUUGAAGAUAGCAAUGAUUGUCCAAGGUGUGGCAACCAAGUUCAUGAGACAAAUCCAUUAGAAAUGUUAAGGUUGGAUAAUACAUUAGAGGAAAUUAUAUUUAAACUGGUCCCUGGACUACGAGAACAAGAACUUGAGCGUGAAUCUGAAUUUUGGAAGAAAAAUAAACCUCAAGAAAAUGGACAAGAUGAUACGGCAAAAACUGACAAACCUAAAGUAGAUGAAGAAGGUGAUGAAAAUCAAGAUGAUAAAGACUAUCACAGAAGUGACCCACAAAUUGCUAUAUGUCUAGAUUGUUUACGAAAUAAUGGACAAUCAGGGGACAAUGUAGUAAAGGGUUUAAUGAAGAAAUUCAUUCGAUGUUCUACACGUGUAACUGUGGGAACUAUCAAAAAAUUUCUAAGUUUAAAACUAAAACUUCCAAGUUCUUAUGAGUUGGAUGUGCUGUGCAAUGGUGAAAUUAUGGGGAAGGAUCAUACUAUGGAAUUCAUCUACAUGACAAGAUGGCGACUAAGAGGCGAAAACUUUCGGUGUCUGAACUGCUCAGCUUCGCAAGUCUGCUCUCAGGAUGGCCCUUUGUAUCAGUCAUACCCUAUGGUAUUGCAGUAUCGACCAAGAAUUGAUUUUGGUUAGACCAAGGGGUCUAGAUCUCACUGAGAUGAAUCCUGCACUAUUUGUUUACUCGUCAACAGAUUGCACAGUGAACGCACCAUCUGACAGAUCUUAGGAAAUCCUCAAAGGUGAGAAAGAGAGAAACACAACAAAUAGCCUCCUUCUGGAUGAAAAGUGAGAGAAAUACAUACUUUGCAAAGAAAAUUGAAAUUGAGAUUUUAAGUUUUAAUUUGAGAAUUUUUUUAUUCCAUGGAAAAGUGAGAGAAAUACAUACUUUGCAAAGAAAAUUGAAAUUGAGAUUUUAAAUUUUAAUUUGAGAAGUUUUUUGUUCCAUGGAGGCAGUAUAAACUAAAAUUACAAUUAUUUGGAUUCUGGGUUCUUAGUAAUAUGAGAAAUUUUAUUAAAGACAGACUUUGGCAAAAGUAUUGACAUGCUUACUUGUAUAGAAAAUAGUAUAUUCUGUUGGACUUACGUAAGUAAUUUUUCUAUGUUAAAAAGCAAAGUUUUCAUAAGGGCCUUUUUUUGGUUUUUUGUUUUGUUUUGUUUUGUUUUUCCUUAAAAAGCAGCUCUGUCUUGUUUCUCAGCAAUUAUUAUUAUUAUUAUUAUUAUUAUUAUUAUUAUUAAAAUUUAGCCACAUAGCCAGAUUUUGCAAAAUGGGUCACAGAACAAGCAUGUACAUCAGGAGGAAGUUCAGUACCCUCCUUAUACCUUUUCUCCUAGGGAAUUCAUGCUGUGGGCCACUUUAAAGGUAAAACUCAUAAAGUCUUUCUGAUAGGUCACUAGGUAAACCUCCUUGGAUAGGCUAAAAAUGAUGCAUACUCUGGUUUAUCAUAAGGAAUUUUCCUGCAAGCUAAGAUUUGUACCAGUACAGUGUUGGUUGGUUGGAGGAAUUUCAAAAAUGAAUGAAUUUGCCAUAACUUUAAUUUUCUGGACUAGACACACAAUACCUUGAAAUACUAAUAUUAUUUUAAGAUAUAUAUCCCUAUAGUUUGGGAAGCAGUAAGGAGUAUGUCUGCUAGAUCUUGUUUAUGAACAGUUGAAAAAUAUUAAAUACACUAGAGACUCAGAAACCAUUUCAAAGCACAAAAUAACCAGCUUUCUGGAUUUACUUGAUAAACCUAGUUCAGUAGUAUUUUGAUGGAAUACAUCAGAUUGAAAGUUCAUUAAAAUGUACUUAAAUAUACAAUACAGGGUUUUCAUUGUUUUUGUUUUUCAUAAAGCAAUGUUGUUUUUCCAAUAAUUUAAAAGUGAUUCUCUUCCUAGUGUAAUACAGUUUUCACAGAUAGUGGUGUUUACUUACUGUCCUUAUGUUUUCAAAUAAAAUUAAAAUGCUCGAGCACUUUCUGUAUAGAAAGUUAUAAAAUUAAACUUAAAAAUAAUUAUUUUAAAUGCUUUUUUGAAAUGUCUGUAUACUCAUUAUGCCCCUUUUUCUAUGAUUCAAAGCAGACUGAUUUCUCAGAAAUGCUUGUUAAUUUUAAUUAUCUUUAGAUCUAGAAUCAAGUAAAACAUAUAUGUUAAAUACUGGGUCUAGUUUUCUUCCAUCUGAAAGAGCUUCAUGGAAUAAGAAACUAAUCUAGUACAAAUGAAGCUGAAGUAUUUCUGGGUAAUGAAGUAAUAAACAGAUUGAUUUAUCCACACACUUCACAUCAAUCACUGGAGCAGGAGUUGUACACAUUAAAAACGUAAAAGGAUCAGCCGAACAUUGUUUGGGAUCGGUUUUCUUUUGCUGUAUUUUUUAGAAUGGGGGUGGGGGCCUAAGUGUCCUUAUGAAGCUGUGGUCCACGACAAGAGCUUGUGGGGGGAGUACCAGUGUUCUGCUGCUUUCCUGCAUCUGCGCAACACAACAGCGAUCAUCAGUUUUUAAUAGAGUAGCCCUCACAAUAAAUAAAACUAUCAUAGAAUAUAUUGUAAAGUUAUGUUGCUAAUUUUCCUUUGAAAUAUAAAAUAUUUUAAGCUUUUUGUCAAAAGUGGUAACAUCUUAAUACAAAUAAAAACCUUUUUGUGGUUGUAAGAUUUAGCUUAUAAAUCAUUCAAAUUGAAGUGAAAGAAUUACCAGGUCAUUGUUAAUGACUUAGUCUAUUAAGAAUAUAUGUAUUUUUGUAAAGGAGAAGCACUUGUAGAUAUUUAAUCAGUACAAGAUAUAUGUCUGUUUUGCAGAAAUAAAAUGCUGCUUAGAGAUUCUCUUUAAAUAUUUUUUAUUUUUGUGCUCAAAUGUAUUUUCUGUUGAUCUAUGGAAUGUUGUGUACAAAGCUGUAUGAUUGUACUGUUGGGCUAGAUACAUUUUUUUUUUUUAAUUUGGACUUAGCCAAGUAUAUUUGACCAUGUUAAAAAUAUAGUAUCUUUGUUAUUAAAAAUUUGAU
This is an RNA transcript of Cynocephalus volans (Philippine flying lemur), 3404 nucleotides long. It is a transcript of the gene named polycomb group ring finger 5, with no coding region annotated. NCBI's taxonomy places the organism in Eukaryota, Metazoa, Chordata, Mammalia, Dermoptera, Cynocephalidae. The record is from RefSeq and is a predicted model, not a curated record. The transcript is spliced from 11 exons.